GACGAACGCUGGCGGCGUGCCUAAUACAUGCAAGUAGAACGCUGAAGGAGGAGCUUGCUCUUCUGGAUGAGUUGCGAACGGGUGAGUAACGCGUAGGUAACCUGCCUGGUAGCGGGGGAUAACUAUUGGAAACGAUAGCUAAUACCGCAUAAGAGUAGAUGUUGCAUGACAUUUGCUUAAAAGGUGCAAUUGCAUCACUACCAGUUGGACCUGCGUUGUAUUAGCUAGUUGGUGGGGUAACGAAUCACCAAGGCGACGAUACAUAGCCGACCGGAGAGGGGGAUCGGCCACACUGGGACGGAGACACGGCCCAGAGGCCUACGGGAGGCAGCAGUAGGGAAUCUGCGGCAAGGGGCGGAAGUCUGACCGAGCAACGCCGAGUGAGUGAAGAAGGUUGUCGGAUCGGAAAGCUCGGUUGUAAGAGAAGAACGAGUGUGAGAGUGGAAAGUUCACACUGUGACGGUAUCUGACCAGAAAGGGACGGCUAACUACGUG
This 495-nucleotide ribosomal RNA is filed under the name uncultured bacterium. RNAcentral's name for it is "partial 16S ribosomal RNA". It matches the Rfam family "Bacterial small subunit ribosomal RNA", at positions 28 to 507 of the family's 1533-position model. The record is from RNAcentral.